Molecule: ribosomal RNA, 441 nt
Filed under: uncultured bacterium
Lineage: Bacteria
Description: partial 16S ribosomal RNA
Rfam family: Bacterial small subunit ribosomal RNA
Source: RNAcentral
CCUACGGGGGGCUGCAGUGGGGGAUAUUGCACAAUGGGGGGAACCCUGAUGCAGCGACGCCGCGUGGGUGAAGGAGCGUUUCGGCGCGUAAAGCCCUAUCGGCAGGGAAGAAGGAGGACGGUACCUGACUGAGAAGCCCCGGCUAACUACGUGCCAGCAGCAGCGGUAAUACGUAGGGGGCAAGCGUUAUCCGGAUUUACUGGGGGGAAAGGGGGCGCAGACGGCAGCGCAAGCAAGGAGUGAAAGCCCGGGGCCCAACCCCGGGACUGCUCUUGGAACUGCGCGGCUGGAGUGCAGGAGGGGCAGGCGGAAUGCCUGGUGUAGCGGUGAAAUGCGUAGAUAUCAGGAGGAACACCGGUGGCGAAGGCGGCCUGCUGGACUGCGACUGACGUUGAGGCCCGAAAGCGUGGGGAGCAAACAGGAUUAGAUACCCUAGUAGUC